This 75-nucleotide non-coding RNA is filed under the name Nonomuraea wenchangensis. The record is from RNAcentral. Lineage: Bacteria; Bacillati; Actinomycetota; Actinomycetes; Streptosporangiales; Streptosporangiaceae.
GUGAGCCGUGUGCGGGAGAACCGCAUGCACGGUUCGACGGGCGGGAGCUGGAAACGGAGCCACAAACCUGGCCAU